This 434-nucleotide ribosomal RNA is filed under the name uncultured bacterium. RNAcentral describes it as "bacterial SSU rRNA". It matches the Rfam family "Bacterial small subunit ribosomal RNA", at positions 958 to 1392 of the family's 1533-position model. The record is from RNAcentral.
AACGCGAAGAACCUUACCAGGUCUUGACAUCCCACUGAGCGCGUAGAGAUACGCGGGCCCUUCGGGGAGGUGGAGACAGGUGGUGCAUGGUUGUCGUCAGCUCGUGUCGUGAGAUGUUGGGUUAAGUCCCGCAACGAGCGCAACCCCUAUGUUCAGUUACUAACGCGUAGAGGCGAGGACUCUGGACAGACUGCCGCGGAUAACGCGGAGGAAGGUGGGGAUGAUGUCAAAUCAUCAUGCCCCUUAUGACCUGGGCUACAAACGUGCUACAAUGGCCGCAACAAAGAGGGACGAAAGCGCAAGCUGGAGGGAAUCUCAAAAAAGCGGUCCCAGUUCGGAUCGUGGGCUGCAACCCGCCCGCGUGAAGUCGGAGUUGCUAGUAAUCGCGGAUCAGCAUGCCGCGGUGAAUGCGUUCCCGGGUCUUGUACACACCG